RNAcentral lists this ribosomal RNA (446 nucleotides) under uncultured bacterium. RNAcentral's name for it is "partial 16S ribosomal RNA". It matches the Rfam family "Bacterial small subunit ribosomal RNA", at positions 338 to 795 of the family's 1533-position model. The record is from RNAcentral.
CCUACGGGUGGCAGCAGUCGAGAAUCAUUCACAAUGGGGGAAACCCUGAUGGUGCGACGCCGCGUGGGUGAAUGAAGGUCUUCGGAUUGUAAACCCCUGUCAUGUGGGAGCAGAUUAAAAAGAUAGUACCACAAGAGGAAGAGACGGCUAACUCUGUGCCAGCAGCCGCGGUAAUACAGAGGUCUCAAGCGUUGGUCGGAAUCACUGGGCGUAAAGCGUGCGUAGGCUGUUUCGUAAGUCGUGUGUGAAAGGCGCGGGCUCAACCCGGGGACUGCAAAUGAUACUGGGAGACGAGUGUAACGGAGGGGGAACUAGAAUUCUGGGUGUAGCAGUGAAAUGCGUAGAGAUCGAGAGGAACACUCGUGGCGAAGGCGGGUUCCUGGACAUUAACUGACGCUGAGGUACGAAGGCGAGGGGAGCGAAAGGGAUUAGAUACCCGAGUAGUC